UUUAUUCUAUUUUAAAGUUUGAUUUAUUAAGAAAAAUAUAAUGUUUUAAACCCAAUCUUUUAAGGAGAGAUUUUGUUUUAAGUAAAGAUUUGAGCUCGGUUUAUUAAGAAAAGGAAUCUCUGCCACAGGAGAGCAGAGAACAAGGAUUUAAAGAAUAUAUUAAUUAAUGAAGUGUCUGCCACAGGAGAGCAGAUGUGACAUUGUUUGGGCCUUAGUGCCAAAUGUAAAGUGGGGACGCCCACACACUCAGAACUGUUUUCCAGAUGUACGCUUAUUGAUUUGGAAAGUCACACUGUAUGCGGCCUGGCCGUACGACUUAUAAGCAUACUGUAUGCAUCUGGAAAGCCAUACCUGGGACUUGUGCCUGGGUAAUGUCGGGAGCGGGUAGGCAACCGACACAUGAGCUCAUGGCCUGCGUUAGGGAUAGACAUGCAUCAUAUUGAUUGCGCAUUUACAUUUGAUUACGCUUGCCUGUUUUAUUACUUUGUGAUUGUAUUGUUUGUCUUGUUGUGACUUGCUUGUACAUUGAAUUGAAUCUCUUGCUUGCACUAUUUAUUUGUGAGUGUAUUAAAGUGAUUACGAGUUGACAUUUGACUGAGGAUUAACUAUGUGGCUGAGAGGCAGAAAAUGUGACUAGUUUUAUAUUUAAAAUUUGUUUUGAGUUUAGAAAUUUAAAGAAAAGUAAUUAUUUAUCUAAAGUAGAAAUAAAAGUAUUUCCAAAGGGUUAACAAAAUAGUUUUAUUGAGUAAAGUUAAUUAUUUACAUUAAAUUCAUUACUUUUACGGCAUUCCCAUUCCCUACUGAGAACGUGUGGUUUGUUCUCACCCCAAAAUCUUCCACCCUUUCAGUGACACAGGUUCGAAGAUUCAGUUAGAAGAUGCAGACGACUAGUAGAUUUACUUGUGAUUCCUGUUAUUUUUAUAGAGUUCACUCGCCC
Molecule: long non-coding RNA, 937 nt
Filed under: Arachis ipaensis
Lineage: Eukaryota; Viridiplantae; Streptophyta; Magnoliopsida; Fabales; Fabaceae
Description: long non-coding RNA (AIPA_LNC002314)
Source: RNAcentral